This 200-nucleotide ribosomal RNA is filed under the name uncultured bacterium. Its description in RNAcentral is "partial 16S ribosomal RNA". It matches the Rfam family "Bacterial small subunit ribosomal RNA", at positions 29 to 256 of the family's 1533-position model. The record is from RNAcentral.
AGCGAACGCUGGCGGCAGGCCUAACACAUGCAAGUCGAACGAGCCCUUCGGGGCUAGUGGCGGACGGGUGAGUAACACGUGGGAACGUGCCUUUUGGUCCGGAACAACUCAGGGAAACUUGAGCUAAUACCGAAUGUGCCCUUCGGGGGAAAGAUUUAUCGCCAUUAGAGCGGCCCGCGUCUGAUUAGCUAGUUGGUGAG